AUUCAACGAAGCCACGUUUCCUUCCUUGCUGGUUAUUCGCGUCGCAGAGUCAACCUUCACUCGAAGGCCCACUGGUUCUCCCUCCGAAUUUCCUCCUCCUCCUGCGGUGUGAAGUCGUUGACGAUGUUGAAGGUCUUGCGGAUCUCCUCCGGAGUCUUGCCCUUGAUCAUGUCGGCGACCGUCUGACAGGUCAGGUCGAGGAGCCCCUUGAUCUCCAGGUAGUUCGCAGCCUGUCAAGGCAAAUGGAAGCAAUCAAGGUCAAGCAUCACACUGAACAUAUAUAAGAACAGGAGCAUCAGACAUAGUAGAUCAAUCCAUUAUCAACAGAAGACAGAGCUUCAGUUCAUAUUUAAGAAACAGAGUACCAAUGUUGUACAGAAUCAUAUUUAAGCAAGACAGAGCAUCGGUUCAUAUCAUGCUGAGCAAAGCAAACAUACAUAGCAAUAUAGCAUGGCGAGGGAGCAAAGCUAGUAUUAAAGCAAGACACUAUCAACACGUAGUGGUACCAAGGACAAACACAACUGCUUACACAAGAUAGUUACCUAUACAGGGCAGAUGAAUUAUACUAGAGCAAGGUGGAUAACACUAAUCAAGUACUUACAACAACCUAAAAACUAGCAGCAACAAGGGUCGGGCAUAAUGACAAACAGAUAAAGAACAGGAGCAUCAGACACAGAAGGUUAUUGCAACAUCCGCAUUAUGAAAGAACUUGCAGUUCAUACUUAAGCAAGACAGCAGUAGCAAUAAAUAAUGGUGAGUACGCAAACUUCAUGCUUAAGAAAGAAAGUGGCAAUAUGCCUUUAGGUUGUGGUACAAAGAGACAAGAACACAACUGACAUGCAUUACAAGCAUACACAGUUGGACACAAAUACAGUGCACACGAAUUAUACUUCACCAAGGUGGAUAACGCAAAAACAACUAUUUACAACAAAGCUACCAACCAUUGAGCAGUAAAGUAAGGCAUAUUUUAUUAUACGCAGAAGUGUAUAUAAACUGAUGGGAUACACAUACUACAGAGCUAAACAAAAACGAAUUGUCUACUGUAACUAUUGUAUGUCCAUGUACAAGCCUUGCAAAGUACUAUCCCAACAAAGAACACCAGAAAGCAACAAAUAAACAUAACAUGCUUCACAUCCUGAUGGAGGUCAGAUACUGAAUAGUUUAACAAACAGAUUCUAGAAUAGCAUUCUUGUCAGAUCAGGCAACAAGCAUUGAAUAGUAAUGCCACUCAAGGCCGGCAAGGCCACCACAAAGCGACAACUAGGACCAUGCUAAUAUCUUGUUAUUGUAUUGCAGACUACCACAAAGCAUUGUUUAUCUAGUACAGCAUUUAACGAUGCAAUGCAGAUAAUCAAUUUUUUAUCACAGUACUGUUUCCAAGUAAUAAACAAAAUAGCUGAGAGUAACCAAAUUAGGAAACAGAAAACAGCUGACUGCAACAAGUAAGAAACAAAGUAGUAACAGUGAGUAAUCCAAAUGAGGUAACAGAAAACAGCUGGCUGUAACAACAUAGAAUGCAUUCACUUACACAGAAAUUCGUAUCAGGCAUCACUUAUUAUCUGAAACAGAUCAUGCCAAAGAUACAUAACAGUACCAGAACUGAACAUCAUUUAUUAUCUGAAAUGCAGUGAUACAUCUAAAAAGCAGACAACUAAAUGCUAGUAGUACACAUGGGCUUAAUCCUGCAGCAGAACUGAACACGGAAAAAUUAUCAUCACUUGAAGUAAAAAAGCCGACUACUAUGUCAUGCAACCAUCAGACACUUCAGUAACAUUACCGAAUCGCUCACAUAACAGUUGUCACAUCCAAUAGAUUGCAUAAACAUGACAAAACGCACUAAACGGAAAACCUGAAAAUAUACAGCACGGGGAAAAACUACGCACUUGAAAUCCACAAUCAUAACGGAUGAAACGAACCUGCAAUACGUCCCAUUUCGUAGCACAGCAACAACACAAAACCCUAAACCCUAGAACAACUAAGUUGGCGUCCACAAUCGAACAGCGAAUCUGGGCACCAACCGCUCAAAUCCACACCGCAAUCGCAUCUAAACGGCCGGAACACAAGCCCUCAACGAGUACAUACAAUGUAGGAGCACGGCACGGGAGGGGAAGAGGGGAUCGGAAGUCUCGCUCACCAGGAUGAGGUCGAAGAGGACCGUCUGGUCGACUUUGACGAAGUGCUCGUCGAAGGCCUUGAGGUUCACCUCGUCGGGCUUGACGGAGGUGGAGGUGGAGGAGGAGUCGGCGGCGGCGGCGGCUGCGUCCCCGUUCAGGACGUGCUGCUUGCAGUAGUCGAUGACCUUGAUGAGGAUAUUGGCGCUGACGUUGGGGAGCGGGAUGAUGUUGUCGGCGCAGCCGUCAUCCACCAGGUGCUUGAUGGUCUGCGACGCCAUGGCCACCGCCACAUCCACCACGAACACCUCGUCGUCGGAGCUCUUGAGCGUGAGGUUCUUCACCGCCGCCGAUGCCGCGUCCGCCGCCAUCGAUCCGAUCGCCGGGGAGGUGGGAGGCGGGGGUUUUUGGUGGUGGUGCGCGGCGGGAAACCCUAGGGGAGGAGGCGAGUGGUGGUGUGGAAUCGAAGGGAGGGGAAGGGAGGCGCCUUUUAUUUCCGGCGACGCAAAGAGGAAGGCUCUAGAACCGGGGGCAAUUGGGGUUUCUGGACCGAAACCUGUGGGCCUCGGAGAUAUGGUGGGCUUUCUGGGCUGUGGCCCUCUUGGGGUCUCUUUUCGUUAAAAUAAAAACCGGCUGAGUAUUUCUCGAGAAAAAAAAAGGGUAAUUACUGGAAUUUCACAGGAUACUGCAGAAAUACAUUCCAGCUUUUUGCGUGAGUUUCGAUAGUUCAAAUGGAUUUCAAAUACUGAUGUGAUGCCUACAAGAAUAUGUUUCAGUGCACAUGAGAAAUACGUAUUUUAUUGGAACGUGCACACGCACUCUUGUCGUGCCUGGCCCUGAACUAUUUUAUUAGAGUAUUAUCCACGGGAGCUUGGUACUGUACUACUCCCUCCGUCCCAAAAUAAGUGUCUUAAGCUUAGUAUAAUUUUGUACUAGAGCUAGUAUAAAGUCGAGACACUUAUUUUGGGACAGAGGGAGUACUUAAUUCAGUUUCGAUAGGUCAAAGUAAGCAUGCACGAACAACGAACGUUUAAAAGAAAUGAAUUCAUAUGAUAUCAUAGUAAAAUAAUUUAUGAUUUUUUUCAGACAGGUACAAAAUGUUACUAUGUCACUCAAAUUGUAUUUUCAAAAUUGUGACAUAUUUGUGAUCCAACACACGUAUCAUAAUCUAUAGUAAAACAUAUUUGAGUUUUUUUAUCGAGUCAUUUAACGGUGUCUUACAUAAAACAAUAUGAGAACGUGCGUAACAUACGAUCUAGAAACAUGUCUCCGCAUAAAAUUCACGAUCACAUAAUAAUUGUAUUAUAAUUGUUAGAGAAAUAUAUUAUAAAACCAGGACUAAGCACGUCUUGAAGGUCCAUCUUUUGAAGCAAUGAAAGUUCAUCUAUAGAUGCGAUCUAUGAUGCUUUCUUCAAUGUAUGAGAUAUUGUUUUGAGAUUUAUUUUCUUCAUACUUUAAAAUAUGCAUCAAAAAUCGCUUCCUCAGUUCAAAACAAUCCUACAUAUGAAUUAGACAACAUUGUUAUAACAAGUUUGUAUGUGUAAUGUGUAUACAAAUAAGCAUGGUGUAAAUACUCACCUGGGAUAUAGGAAAAUAUAGCUUUCUAUCGCACAAUCAGUGCAUGUAGUUAAAAACCAAAUACCCCGACAAGGCACUGCAUGUAUGAAAUAAACACAUAUUGUGCGUUGAAUGAAUGAAUUAUUUAAUAUUAUAAUGCAUUAAAGAGAUUCAUACCAGUGUGAGUUUGUUGGAACAACCGGAACUAUACAUUCCCAUUUAGAGAUAUCGUCCUUGAAUGCAGGGUUUGCAACUUGGAGUGUGAGGUUUAGGUUACUGACCGCGGUUUUAAGUAUAUUCUUCCCCAAAGUAGGUAUUGGUAUCGGAUCAAAAAUUGAGAUAAGUUUUUUAUGUUGAUCCAAGACAAACAAGAGAAACAACCCAAAAAUAUCCCAAGGCAAUAAAAUCUGCAAUGAUGUAUACGUUUAUAAAUACAUGAAAUAUUAAUUAAAACCAAAUAAACCACUGUUAUAAACGAAAAAUUAAAAUCUUACCAUAACACAAUGUGAGAUAUGACACUCAUUGUUGUCAGGCCAGCUAUGAAACAAUCGUUUGAACGUAGCACUGUCCAUAUUUUCAUGAUGACUUGGGUCUCGUGCAUAGUGGAACAUGGACUAAAAAAGGAAGAAAACAAUAGUGCUAUGAGGAAAAAAUAUGUAAUACGCAAUUAUAGUAUCUUACACAAAAGUUUAGAUCCAUAUAGUGAGAUGGAAUGUCUCCGAGAAGCUCGACUUCGUGGCGCGCUAGUAUCCGCACAACCCUCUUAAAGGAAUCAAUAUUCAUAUAUUCAUCAUUGUUUAAUAUGUUUUUUAUUUGUCUCAACUUUAAGCUGAUAGGGUAAGGAUCAGAGCUUUUCACCCAUUCGCUCUUGUAAAAUCAAAUUUUUGUUAAUUAUAAUGACAUAAGAGUAAUUUAUUAGAAUACAAAAUGAACUAAAAGAACAUGACUUACUAAGUGUCAUCAUCAACCAUACUGAUGAACAAGCACAAUUCAUCUAUUAAGUCAUCGUUUGUUGGGUUGACACACGGUGAAAGGAUAUAUGACUGUGAGAUGAGCUCAACAUCUAACGAUGUAUUCGAUGUUUUGAGAUUCUGAGAGGGUCCAUCGAGAAUCAUACAAUCCGUGGGAUCUAUAUUGUUUUCGUCAUCUUCCAUGUCUCGAUUUCUUAUAUUAUCAUCAUUAAUUGUGAGUCCACUAAAAUGACAGCUAGUUUUGUUCUAAAAUCUACCAUAUGAUCCUAUUAAAGUAGAAAUAAGAGUUAAAUAAUGAUACAACAUAGAAUAAGUAUUACAUAAAAUUUACCUGCGUAGGAGUGUCAGACAAAUCAUUUCGAGUGAAGUACUCCAUAAAAUUUAUCAUCCACAGACCACAAGGAAAUGUCCGUGGAAGUACGAUUCUUUUGUCAAUUCGAUCACCGCGUGACUCACUCGCAACGACGGUGUCAACAAGACCCUAUAAUAGCAUACCAGGUUAUAGUCAACGCAUGGAACAUCCACCACAUCGUUGUAUUAUGAUGUAUUACAAUAAACACAAGCACAAUACCUGGUAGGGGUCAGCGCGGAUGACCUUCUGAUUUUCCGGCUUUGAGUACCAGUCAAGCCGCAUAGUCUCAAUAUUAAUAUACAUGUCAACAACCCAUUGUUGGAAAAGGCGCCCCUGAACAAGAGGAUGUUAAAAAGCUUCCUCCUGACUUGCAACUUGAAGCAGUAGUAUUCCCUUGCACUACCAAAUUUCCUGAAUUGUGUUCCACUGACUUCAUUGUCAGCAAAAUCCUCAUCUGGCUUAUCCUCAUUGUCAUCUAUAAGAUUAAGAACAUAAAUAUCAGUAUGGUGGUUUUACCUAUAAUGAUCGACAACACUCAUAAUGGUCGACAACAUACAAAAUUAAUAUUUAGCAAUGAUGAAUGAUACGUGAAGGUAAAUCAUCGUUUGUGGCUUCAUGCGGUGUAAAAUUCCCAUCUCAUUCUCUUUUUCAAUUUAAGUUCCCUUCUGACAGAUGUUGAUGAAAACACAACUUAUGACUGUCAUUCAGAAAUACACCAGUAUAUAAAUUAAUAGUGAACAUCAUACCUGUAUAUAAAUCAAGGGCUUGGUUUACAUGUGGCACAGGAUUAUCCGCUUCUCGCGAUGCACCAUUCGCAUCUUGUUCUCUUUCUCUAAUCAAGUCUUUGUCUGAUAGAUAUAUGCAUGAAAACAUUAGGUUUCUUCAUCAUUCGCAAAAAGUAGGUAUUUAUAUAAAUUAACAGCGAGCAUCAUACCUAUAUGUAAAUAAGAGGCUUGGUUUCCUUGGGUUGCAGACAUAUGCAUGGAAUUUUGGGUCGUGUCAUCCGGGGGCGGAAUAUAUGGCAUGCAACGAUUCCAACCAGUCUCUCCACGUGGGAAGAAUAGUGGAUAUGACAAUGGGUCGUAGCACCCAUAGUAUGCUCUAAUAUAUAAUGGCCGGUUUCCUGUUUUCGCAUGCAAGACAACAUCCCGUCGAAGCAAUUUUGUGGGUCACUGUCACGCCCAAGAUGCGACCCUCUCCUCAAUUUGGCACGAAGGCCUCGUCAGGGAUAGAAGCGCAUCUCGUCGUGUCGCAAGAAUGGAUAUCAUUACAAGUACAUGUACCGAAAAUAAGAUAUAUAUAUAUAUAUAUAUAUAUAUAUAUAUAUAUAUAUAUAUAGAGAGAGAGUAGUACGUACUACCGUNNNNNNNNNNNNNNNNNNNNNNNNNNNNNNNNNNNNNNNNNNNNNNNNNNNNNNNNNNNNNNNNNNNNNNNNNNNNNNNNNNNNNNNNNNNNNNNNNNNNGCAUGCAAGCUUGACCUGCUGCAGUUUCGUGACUGGACUUCUCAAGCCAGCUAGGUUGUUUACUGGGCUGCCAUCACUCCCAAGCCUUAAGGAACUCAUGCUCAUGGAAUUCCACAACGGCUACAAGGAUAAUUUUGUGGAAGAGCUGAGGGGUGAGGUGGCAAAAAAUCAAAAUCGACCGGCUUUGAAGAGGCACUGAGCAGAGCUCUAUAUUUAUCGAUUUGAAGCUUCCAUUUUCUUUUCAACCGAUUCAUUGUGUUUCUUAAGGAAUUGUUUCUUGUGUUUUUUUGUGGCGCAUGUGCUCUGUUCUGCAUCUGUCAGUUUCAGUAACCGUGCUAUGAAGAAUAAAUUGUGUACCAAGGCAUUGUAACACAGAACUAUAAAUCAUCCGGAUUGUGUUUUCAUUGUUUCUCUUUUCUUAUUUUUAACCCUGAAUACCCACCGUCAAAAUCCUGGCUAGGCCAUGGAUGUUUCUCUGAUCAUGUAUAAGCCACUGAAUGAGCAAUUUAGGCAGGUGUGAGUCAGUGGCGGAGGGUUCUUGGAGGGGGCAAACCAUGUAGGAGGGGCCAUCUAAUGCAAAGAAUAGGAAAAUUUGCAUCAUUAAUGGCUAAAUACAUGUUAUUGAUAUGGCAGAACUAAAUUAGAUUGGGGGGGGGGGGGCAGGUUGGCCAUCGUGAAGCUCCGCCACUGUGUGAGUAGAUUGCACCACAAAAAUGUAAAGAUAAAUUAACUUUUGUUCUAUGGGGUGACAAAUGGAGCAUGUUCUCUGUCAUGGUUUAUGCAUGCUCUUUCGCUUACUGCGGCAAUAGAGGCUGUAUAUACAGUUAAUAAGUAAAUCUACCUUGUUUAAACCCAGGUUCAACUAUAUUUUUCUGUGGACUUGGUCAAAAUAAAAGAAGUUUGACUUACACAAAUCUAGAAGUUCAACAAAUUUGAAAUGUACUACUGUACUAAAAUAGAACGUUCACAGGCAGUUCCAAUUUCUAAAAUCAUGGUAUGCUAUUCAGUCAAAAACAAAUCAACUAAUGCUAUAAGUAUUACAUAUAACACACAAAGAUAAGAGAUCGAAACUUCUACUGCAGAUUCACAUUGCUCGGAACCAAAAUGCAGCAGGACCUUACCGAUAUAUCGAAGUUUUCAGCCUUGCCGAACCCUGCAGGCGGCGUCCGCGGAAACGCGGUCGAUGGCGGCGGCGAUCUCCGCGGGUGGAUGACGCCGGAGGAGACGGCGGUGCUCCGGUGGAGGAGGCAGCCGCCCUGAACCGGGUCCCAACCAACGGCAAUCGGCCGAGAAAGGGGGGAGCGUCUUGCUCCGCUGUGUAGCUCCCAGCGGCCGCGCUCUGAAAUUUGGGGCCGCGCGCGGCUGAGCCGGAGAGAAGGUCGAAGGAGGGGGGCUGUGCCGGAGCGAGCGGAGGAGGCGCCCCAAGGGGGAACAGCCGUCUGGCCUGGCCCUGGUUGGUUGGAAGUUCUCUUUCUACCUCUUCCCGUAUUGGCAAUGGAGUCAUUUUUUUAUUGUUCAAGAUCUCUUGUGCUUCAUGGCUGAAAAAAAGAACAGUUGCACCAGAUGAACAAAAAAUGAACUGAUCUAUAGUCAGACAGUGUCACUCUUGGACCAAAAAUAUCGUCUCUAUAUAAGUAUCCCCUCGGUCCUAAACUUCUUCUCUCACACUUGUGUAAAUAAAAAUAUAUCUAGUCACGUUUUAGUAUUUUAAUACAUCCACUUCUAAAUAGGACGGAGGAAGCAUCACUGAAGUAAGAUUUAAGUCCCAAACGAUUAUGAAAAGUGUAACUUUUCAUUUUCUUUUAUAAAGGGUGCUUUAUUAUUUAAUAUAUUUUUGUAUUAUAUCCGGCCUCUGCAUAACUGAUAUACACACUACAGUCAUCAAAUCCACGUUCAAGAAAAAUAGUAAAAAGGAUAAAUGCAAGUUAUAUGCAGAGAUUGUAUAACGCCUAAUCCUAAGAGGGUCAAUUUGAAUAUUAUGUCUCCAUCCAUGUCGGGUAAAAAUAUCCUAUGUUGUGGCCUUCAAACGUGUACACACCUCUGUAAACAGGUCUUGAUUCUCCAAAUGUUGUAGAUACGAUCAUAAUAUGAAGUGUACCGGUACAUCUCUAAAUAACCUGCAUAAAAAAGUAUUUUUAUCGUUAAAAACCUUAUCAUUUCUACAUAGUCUAGAUGAACAAAUAACGACAAACGCUCCCAUCUGACAAGAGUUCAAAACCUGUAUUAUAUCACAUGAAACCAGUUACCGAAUAUAUUAGCAAUGCUAUAUGGAGAAUAUACGUCAAAAGCUACUUAACUGAUUGACCAUAUAGAACGAGUCAAUUUGCAUUGAAAAAACAAUCAUUUUUUUCGUCUUGAUGACAGAACAAUCACAUUGAGUACUUUCAUGUCAAUUCUUCUUAGUUAGGUUAUCUUUGGUAAAAAUGACUCCACGAUAAAGAUAUCAAGCAAAGAUUUUAUUUUUAAGCGGUAUCUUCAUCUUCCAAAUAUUUUUAUUAUAAAGAUAUUUGUGGAUUAAGACAUAGCCAAACACAAAAAAUAUAUCUUUGCAAGUUGUUCUUGCAAGCUUCUGCAGCGAUUUACAUACAACAGUCAUUUAUGCGGUGGAAGAACUUGCGUCUCUUCGGGAUAAACAUAACCUACUACUCGACAUGGAAGAUGUAGACGAGUCCCGUCUUUUAAGGGAUGCAACUUCCCGCGCGCGGCGGCUCCGUGUCCUCGUCGGACUCAAAUUUAUCAAUUUUGCCAACAUUUUACUCAUCAAUUGGUUAAAAUCAACAUUGCAUUUAUACUAGGGCAGUGCUCUGCGCCGGCGCGCCGGCCGAAACUUUCGGCCGGCCGCGCGCGGGCCGCACGAUCCGUCAGCCGCCGCGCGUCCGCACCGUUAGAUCUAUCCAUGCAACAGAUAUUCCUCAAUGCAGUAAAUUUUGACCACGAUGCAACAAAUUUUCGCAUGGUUACAACAAAAAUAUGGUUGUAGCAGAAAAAUAUCAACGUGAUUGUAGAAAAAAACGACGCUGAUGAUGUGUGGUAAAAAACAAAAAAAGGGUUGUAGCAAAGCAAUCCGGUGAACUUGGGUUGCAACUCUUACGAACGUGGAUGCAACUUUUUUACUGAACGGUUGCAGCAAAAAAUGAUGCUGGUUGUAGCAAAAAUAAACACGGUUGUAGCAAGAGCGAUCAAUCGGCUCAACCACACAAGAACACCAGCAACCUCGCCGUCCCAGCACGGACAUAUCUCUACUAUUAAGGGCCUGUUUAGGACUACUCUGCUCCUUAAAAUUCAGCUCUGCUCUAGAAAAGAGAAGCCAAACGGGGUAGCUCCACGAUAUGCCGCUCCGCAAAAAAACUAGAAUCUGGGAUAGAACUUCAAAGUUUUUAUGAAGCUCCUCGGAGGGUGCUCCAAAACACUCUAGAAGCUAGAGUUGGAGGGAAAUUACCCACCACUGCCACCAGUAAGUGGAUACCCCUUCGUUUAUUUCCCAUCAACCAAUCAAAUAGAUUCUUUUCAUCAGAUUUUCUAUUUUUGAAGCUGGAGCUAGAUGGAAGCCAAACAUUGCAGAUCCAACUCUCCAUCUAAACCGUUUAAUUACAUCAUCAAGGGUCUAAAAACGUCGUUAGCGAAACUGACAGUUUUCGUCAGCGCUAAUUGCCCACCCCACGUCGUCCCGCAUCGCCCGUCCUCCCCCCGCUCGCCUCGCUCGCCUGCCUCGCCCCGCUCGCCCGCGUCGCCCCGCUCGCCCGCNNNNNNNNNNNNNNNNNNNNNNNNNNNNNNNNNNNNNNNNNNNNNNNNNNNNNNNNNNNNNNNNNNNNNNNNNNNNNNNNNNNNNNNNNNNNNNNNNNNNCAUGAUGCUACUAAAAAUUACUAUGAGAGAGUAUCAUAUGCUUCUACUUAUUGAAAUAGUAUCAAGCUUACUCUCCAUGUGUUGAAAUUUUUGAAGCUAUGCUUGUUUUGCCUUCCUAUGCUAGUUGAUUCUUGCUGCAAUAAGUUUUUUGAUCACAAAAUCCCUGUGCAUAGGAAGUGGGUUAGACUUAAAUGUGCUAGCCAUAUGAUCCAUGAUGCUUCCAUUAUGUUUCAAUUGUUAUCUUUUAUGUGAGCAUCAUUGAAAUCAUGAUGCCUAGCUAAGGGCGUUAAACAAUAGCGCUUGUUGGGAGGCACCCCAAUGAAUUUAUUUUUGCUUUUUGCUUUCUGUUUUGUUUUGUACACACCAUCAUAAUUCUUUUAUGAUUGUGUUUUUUGUGUUUUAUUUUGUGUUUGUGCCAAGUAGAACCUUUAUGAUUGGUUUUGGGUGAUAGUUGUUUAAUCAUGCUGAAAAAGACAGAAACUUUCUGCUCACGAAAUUAUUUUUAGUUUCUAUCCAGAAAGUGAAUUUGAGUUUAUUCUUUUUGCUGCUGAUUUAUAUGCAAUUUUUCAUAAUUUUUGGAGGUGCAUAAGUAUGGUUCUCAUUCAGAUCAUUACAGAAUGUUCUGUUUUUGACAGAUUAUGUUUUCAAUACAUAGUUUGCUUGUUUUGGUGUUUCCAUAGAUUAUUUUGAGUAAUAUAAAUUGUGGAAAUAGUAAGAUACAUUAUUCAUUGUGUGAAAAUAAUUAUGAGUCUUGUCUUGACAGUACCCAAGUGAUUGAUUUGCUCGUUAUCAUACUAACCCAUCUCACGAAGUUCCGUUAAGUUUUGUGUUGUGAAGUUUUCACGUUUUGGGUAGAGUUUCCAUGGACUAUGAAACAAGGAGUGGCAAGAGCCUAAGCUUGGGGAUGCGCAAGGCAUCCCAAGACAUAUUCAAGGAUACCAAAAAGCAUAAGCUUUGGGAUGCCCCGGGAAGGCAUCCCCUCUUUCGUCUUCAAUCCAUCGGUAACUUUACUUGGGGCUAUAUUUUUAUUCACCACAUGAUAUGUGUUUUGCUUGGAGCGUCAUUUUAUUUUCUUUGAAUAAGGUACUUAGGAUCUGAAAUUCUUAGUUGGGAGAGUCUCCACAUAGCCAAAUAGUUGUUCAACUACUCAUUGAGCUUCACUUAUAUCUUUUGGAGUAGUUUGUCUUUUGCUCUAGUGCUUCACUUAUAUCUUUGUAUAGCAUUGCAAUGGUUCUAUUUUAUAGAACUAGUUGAACUCUCGUUCUUCACUUAGAUCAUUUUGAGAGUCUUAAACAUCAUGGUACCUUGCUUAGGUUAUGAAUCUAGUCCUAAUACGAUAGGCAUCCAAAGAGGAUAAAAACCUUCAUAUUCAUGUGCAUUGAUUAGUAAGAGAAGUUUGAUUCCUCUCAAUUGGUUUUGAGAUAUGGAUAUGGUAAUAUUAGAGUUAUGCUAGUAGGGUGUUGUGAAUCUAGAAAUACUUGUGUUGAACUUAGUGAUUCUCGUAGCAUGCACGUAUGGUGAACCGCUAUAUUAGGAAGUCGGAGCAUAAUUGAUUUAUUGUCUGUCAUCCUUUGUGUGGCGGUCGGGAUCGCGUGAUGGUUAACACCUACUAACCCUUCCCCUAGGAGUAUGCGUUUAGCACUUUGUUUUGAUUACUAAUAAAAACUUUUGCAAUAAGUAUAUGAGUUCUUCAUGACUAAUGUGAGUCCAUGGUAUAGAUGCACUUUCACCUUCCACCAUUGCUAGCCUCUCUAGUGCCGCGCAACUUCCGCGGGUGCACAAACCCACCAUAUACCUUCCUCAAAACAGCCACCAUACCUACCUAUUAUGGCAUUUUCAUAGCCAUUCCGAGAUAUGUUGGCAUGCAACUCCCACCGUUCCGUCUCAUGACUUGUGCCGUCACUUUCAUAUUGCCAAUGCAUGAUCGUAAGAUAGCUAGCGAGAUGUUUCAACGUCAUACGCUAAGCUAGAUCGUUGCACAAUCCGGUACACUGCCGGAGGCAUUUCAUAUAGAUUCAUCAUUGCUCUAAGUAUUGAGUUGUGAGUAAAUAAAAGUGUGAUGAUCAUCAUUAUUAGAGUAUUUUCCCAUGUGAGGAAAUAAAAAAAGAGGCCAAAGAUGCCCACCAAAAAAAUGAAAAGAGGCCAAAGAGCCCAAACAAAAAAAGAGAGAAAAAGAGAGAAGGGACAAUGCUACUAUCUUUUUCCACACUUGUGCUUCAAAAAGCACCAUGUUCUUCAUGAUGGAGAGUCUCUUGUUUUGACACUUCCAUAUACUAGUGGGAAUUUUCAUUAUAUAACUUGGCUUGUAUAUUCCAAUGAUGGGCUUCCUCAAAAUUGCCCUAGGUCUUCGUGAGCAAGCAAGUUGGGUGCACACCCACUAGUUAUCCUUUUGAGCUUUCACACACUUAUAGCUCUUGUGCAUCCGUUGCUUGGCAAUACCUACUCAUUCACAUUGAUAUCUAUUGAUGGGCAUCUUCAUAGCCCAUUGAUACGCCCAGUCAAUGUGACCAUCUCCUCCUUUUUGCCUCACAACCCCCACCACACUCUAUUCCACCUAUAGUGUUAUAUCCAUGGCUCACACUCAUGUAUUGUGUGAGAGUUGAAAAAAGUUUGAGAAAGUAAGAGUGCAAAAACAAUUAUUUGGCCAAUACCGGGGUUGUGCAUGAUUUAAAUUCGUUGUGUGGGGAUGAUGGAGCAUAGCCACACUAUAUGAUUUUGUAGGGGUAACUUUCUUUGGCCUUGUUAUUUCGAAAGUUCAUGAUUACCUUGCUAGUUUGAUUGAAGUAUUAUUGUUUUCAUGUCAAUAGUAAACUAUUGUUUUGAAUAUGAACAUUCAUGCCACAAGAAAGAAAUUACAAAGGACAAAUAUGUUAGGUAGCAUUCCACAUCAAAAGUUCGGUCUUUAUCACUUCCCUACUCGAGGACGAGCAGGAGUUAAGCUUGGGGAUGCUUGAUACGUCUCCAACGUAUCUAUAAUUUUUUAUGGUUCCACGCUAUUAUCUUGUAAACCUUGGAUGUUUUAUAUGCAUGAAUAUGCUAUUUUAUAUCUUUUUUGGGACUAACCUAUUAACUUAGUGCCAAGUGUCAGUUUCUGUUUUUUCCGUGUUUUUGACCCUUUUUCAGACGGAGUCCAAAUGGAAUAAAACUUUGCGAUGAUUUUUUUUGGACCAAAAGAGACCCCCGAUGCUUUGGAAGAAGGCCAAAAGAGCCACGAGGGAGUCACAAGCCCAUGAGGCACGCCCCCCCCCCCUAGGCCACACCUAGCAGGAUUGUGACCUCCUCGUGGGCCCAACCAACGUAAUUCCACCGCCAUAAAUUCUGGUAAAUUCAGAAACCCCCAAAAAGAAACCUAGAUCGGGAGUUCCGCCACCGCAAGCCUCUGUAGCCACCAAAAACCAAUCUGGAGCCCGUUCCGGCACCCUGCCGGAGGGGGAAUCCAUCUCCGGUGGCCAUCUUCAUCAUCCCGGCGAUCUCCAUGACGAGGAGGGAGAAGUUCUCCCUCGGGGCUGAGGGUAUGUACGAGUAGCUAUGUGUUUGAUCUCUCUCUCUCUCGUGUUCUUGAGAUGUCUUGAUCUCGAUGUACCACAGGCUUUCCUACUAUAGUUGGAUCUUAUGAUGUUCUUCCCCCUCUCCCUUCUUGUAUUGAAUUGAGUUUCCCCUUUGAAGUUAUCUUAUCGGAUUGAGUCUUUGAGAACACUUGAUGUAUGUCUUGCAUGUUUCUAUCUGUGGUGAUCAACUUGCGGGUUUGUGAUAUUGGGAACCUAUGCAUAUGUGUUGGCACACGUUUGGAUAUUCAUGUGAGUACUCGAUGUAUGUUUUGGUGAUCAACUUGCGGGUUUCGUGACAUUAGGACCCUAUGCAUAUGGGUUGGCACACAUUUUGACUCUCCGGUAGAAACUUCGGGGCACUCUUUGAAGUUCUAUGUGUUGGUUGAAUAGAUGCUUCUGAGAUUGUGUGAUGCAUAUCGUAUAAUCAUGCCCACGGAUACUUGAGGUGACAAUGGAGUAUCUAGGUGACAUUAGGGUCUUGGUUGAUAUGUAUCUUAAGGUAUUACUCUAGUACGAAGUCUAUGAAAGAUUGAACGGAAAGAAUACCUUCAUGCUAUUUUACUACAGACUCUUGAAUAGAUCGAUCAGAAAGAAUAACUUUGUGGUGGUUUCGUACCCAACUAUAAUCUCUUCGUUUGUUCUCCGCUAUUAGUAACUUUGGAGUGACUCUUUGUUGCAUGUUGAGGGCUAGUUAUAUGAUCCAAUUAUGUUAUCAUUGUUGAGAGAACUUCACUAGUGAAAGUAUGAACCCUAGGCCUUGUUUCCACGCAUUGCAAUACUGUUCGUGCUCACUUUUACUACUAGUUACCUUGCUGUUUUUGUAAUUUCAGAUUACAAAAACCUAUAUCCACCAUCCAUAUUGCACUUGUAUCACCAUCUCUUCGCCGAACUAGUGCACCUAUACAACUUACCAUUGUAUUGGGUGUGUUCGGGACACAAGAGACUCUUUGUUAUUUGGUUGCAGGGUUGCUUGAGAGAGACCAUAUUCAUCCUACGCCUCCCGCGGAUUGAUAAACCUUAGGUCACCUACUUGAGGGAAAAUUGCUACUGUCCUACAACCCUCUGCACUUGGAGGCCCAAAAACGUCUACAAGGAGAAGGUUGCGUAGUAGACAUCAGCCCGCGGGCCAGGACCCGCUCCUCGAAGCCGGCCAACCACUAUUGGAAAUAUGCCCUAGAGGCAAUAAUAAAAUGGCUUUAUCAUAUUUCCUUGUACAUGAUAAUCGUCUAUUGUUCAUGCUAUAAUUGUAUUAACAGGAAAUAGUAAUACAUGUGUGAAUAAAUAGAUCACAAUGUGUCCCUAGCAAGCCUCUAGUUGGCUAGCUCGUUGAUCAAUAGAUGAUCAUGGUUUCGUGAUCAUGGGCAUUAGAUGUCAUUGAUAACGAGAGCACAUCAUUGAGAGAAUGACGUGAUGGACAAGACCCAAUCCUAAGUAAAGCACUAGAUCGUAUUGUUCGUAUGCUAAAUAUUUUCUAAUGUCAAGUGUCUUUUCCUUCGACCGUGAGAUUGUGCAACUCCCGGAUACCGUAGGAGUGCUUUGGGUGUAUCAAAUGUCACAACGUAACUGCGUGACUAUAAAGGUGCACUACGGGUACCUCUGAAAGUGUCUGUUGGGUUGGUACGAAUCAAGAGUGGGAUUUGUCACUCCGUGUGACGGAGAGGUAUCUCUGGGCCCACUCGGUAAUACAACAUCACACACAAGCCUUGCAAGCAAUGUAACUUAGUGUAAGUUGCGGGAUAUUGUAUUACGGAACGAGUAAAGAGACUUACCGGUGACGAGAUUGAACAAGGUAUAGGUAUACCGACGAUCGAAUCUCGGGCAAGUAACAUACCGAAGGACAAAGGGAAUGACAUACGGGAUUAUACGAAUCCUUGGCACUGAGGUUCAAACGAUGAGCUCAACGUGACUAAGGAGUUGGUCACACAAUGACGUGCUACGGAACGAGUAAAGAGACUUACCGGUGACGAGAUUGAACAAGGUAUAGGUAUACCGACGAUCGAAUCUCGGGCAAGUUCUAUACCGACAGACAAAGGGAAUUAUAUACGGGAUUGAUUGAAUCCUUGACAUCGUGGUUCAUCCGAUGAGAUCAUCGUGGAGCAAGUGGGGCCCACCAUGCGUAGAUUCUAUGCACGAGAGAACACAAAAGGUUGUGGGCGAUUAUUUGUCAAUUGCUUGCUGCUACUAAUCUUAUUCUUUUCCGGCGGUAUUGUGGGAUGAAGCGGCCCGGACCGACCUUACACGUACGCUUACAUGAGACUGGUUCCACCGACAGACAUGCACACCAUGCAUAAAGGUGGCUAGCGGGUGUCUGUCUCUCCUACUCUAGUCGGAUUGGAUUUGAUGAAAAGGGUCCUUAUGAAGGGUAAAUAGCUUUGGAAUAUCAUCGUUGUGGCUAUCACGUAGGUAAGAAGGCAUUCUUGCUAGAAACCCAAAUCAGCCACGUAAAACUUGCAACAACAAUUAGAGGACGUCUAACUUGUUUUUGCAGGGUUUGACAUGUGAUGUGAUAUGGCCAAAGUUGUGAUGUUGCAUGUAUGAUGUAUGAGAUGAUCAUGUUAUUCUAAUAGGUUUCACGACUUGCAUGUCGAUGAGUAUGAAAACCGGCAGGAGCCAUACGAGUUGUCUUAAUUUAUUGUAUGAGAUGCAACGCCAUGUGCUUACUACUUUUACUUCAUUGCUAACGGUUAGCUAUAGUAGAAGUGAUAGUAGUAGUUCGCGUGACGACUUCACGGAGACACGAUGAUGGAGAUCAUGAUGAUGGAGAUCAUGGUGUCACGCCGGUGACAAUGAUGAUCAUGCGAUGCCUGAAGAUGGAGAUCGAAAGAGCAAAGAUGAUAAUGGCCAUAUCAUGUCCCUAUAUGAUUGCAUUGUGAUGUUUAUCAUGUUUUUCAUCUUAUUGCUUAGAACGACGGUAGCAUAAUAAGAUGAUCCCUCUUCAAAUUUCGAGAACGUAUUCCCUAAGUGUGCACCGUUGCGAAGGAUCGUUGUCUCGAAGCACCACGUGAAGAUCGGGUGUGAUAGAUUCUAACAUUCGCAUACAAUGGGUGUAAGCCAGAUUUACACACGUGAAACACCUAGGUUGACUCGACGAGCUUAGCAUGUACAGACAUGACCUCGAAUACAAGAGAUCGAAAGGUCGAACAUGAGACGUAUGGUUGAAUACGAUCAGCAUGAAGUUGCUCGCCAUGAUGACUAGUCCGUCUCACGUGAUGAUCGGACACGGGUUAGUCAAAAUGGAUCAUGUAUCACUUAGAUGACUAGAGGGAUGUCGAUUUAAGUGGGAGUUCAUACUUAAUUUGAUUAAAUGAACUUAAUUGUCAUGAACUUAGUCUAAAAGUUGUCUUUAUAAAUAUUGUAGAUGGCCAACGUCAACCUCAAUUUCAACGCAUUCCUAGAGAAAAACAAGUUGAAAGAUGAUGGUAGCAACUAUGCGGACUGGGUUCGCAACUUGAAACUCAUCCUUGAAGCGGCUAAAAAGGCUUAUGUCCUUGAUGCGCCUCUAGGUGACCCUCCCGCUCCCGCAGCAGCCCAGGACAUUCUGAACGUCUGGCAAACGUGGAGUGAUGACUACUCUCUGGUUAGGUGUGGCAUGUUAUACAGUUUGGAAACGGGGCUCCAAAGGCGUUUUGAGCAACACGGUGCAUAUGAGAUGUUCCAAGAGCUGAAACUGGUUUUUCAAGCUCAUGCCCGUGUCGAGAGAUAUGAAGUCUGUGACAAGUUCUUUAGCUGUAAGAUGGAGGAGAACAGUUCUGUCAGUGAGCACAUACUCAAAAUGUCUAGGUUACACGGUCAUCUAACUUCACUUGGAGUCGAACUUCCGGAUGAUGCUAUAAUUGACAGAAUCCUCCAGUCUCUCCCACCAAGCUACAAAGGUUUUGUGGUGAACUACAACAUGCAAGGGAUAGAGAAAACCAUUCCCGAGUUGUACUCGAUGCUCAAGUCUGCAGAAGUAGAAAUCAAGAAAGAGCAUCAAGUGUUGAUGGUCAACAAGACCACUAGUUUCGAGAAGGGCAAGGGGUAAGAAGAACUUCAAGAAAGACGGCAAAGCCGUUGCCGCGCCCGGUAAUCCAGAUGUGCAAAUCUCGGAUACCGUAGGAGUGCUUUGGGUGUAUCAAAUGUCACAACGUAACUGGGUGACUAUAAAGGUGCACUACGGGUACCUCUGAAAGUGUUUGUUGGGUUGGUACGAAUCAAGAGCGGGAUUUGUCACUCCGUGUGACGGAGAGGUAUCUUUGGGCCCACUCGGUAGAACAUCAUCAUGAGCUCAAUGUGUCUAAGGAGUUGGUCACACGAUGACGUGCUACGGAACGAGUAAAGAGACUUACCGGUAACGAGAUUGAACAAGGUAUAGGUAUACCGACGAUCGAAUCUCGGGCAAGUUCUAUACCGACAGACACAGGGAAUUGUAUAUGGGAUUGAUUGAAUCCUUGACAUCGUGGUUCAUCCGAUGAGAUAAUCGUGGAACGUGUGGGAGCCACCAUGGGUAUCCAUAUCCCACUGAUGGUUAUUGGUCGGAGAACAUCUCGGUCAUGUCUGCAUGCUUCCCGAACCCGUAGGGUCUACACACUUAAGGUUCGAUGAUGCUAGGGUUAUAGGGAAAUGUUAUACGAGGUUACCGGAAGUUGUUCGGAGUCCCAGAUGAGAUCCCGGACAUCACGAGGAGCUCUAGAAUGGUCCGAAGGUAAAGAUUGAUAUAUAUGAUGGAUGGUUUUGGACACCAGAAAUGUUUCGGGCGUCACCGAUAGCGUACCGGGACCACCGGGACCAUCGGAAAUGGUCUGGGGGGGUCCACCGGGAGGGGCCACCAGGCCCAAGAGGUAGCAUGGACCAAAAGGGGGAGGGCAACCAGUCCAAAGUGGGUUGGUGCGCCUCCCACAAGAGGCCCAAGGCGCAGGAGGGAGAGAAGGGGGAACCCUGGCGCUGGUGGGCCUAAGGCCCACCUAAGGGGUGCGCCACCCCCUCCCCCUGCCCUAGCCGCCGCACCUCCCAUCUAGAGGGCUGCCGCACCACCUAGGGGGGAAACCCUAGGGGUAGCACCCCCUCCCCUCCUCCUAUAAAUAGAGAGGGGUUUGGGGCUGUUUUCUACAUGGUUUUCUCUCCUCUCGGCGCAGCCCUGCUNNNNNNNNNNNNNNNNNNNNNNNNNNNNNNNNNNNNNNNNCUCUUUCCUCCUCCUCCCACGGUGCUUGGCGAAGCCCUGCCGGGAGACCUCGUCUCUCCAUCGACACCACGUCGUCGUGCUGCCGGAGAUCUUCCCCAACCUCUCCCUCCUCCUUGCUGGAUCAAGGUGCGGGAGACUUCACCGGGCUGCAUAUGUGUUGAACGCGGAGGUGUCGUGGUUCGGCAUUAGAUCGGAAUCACACCGCGAUCUGAAUCGCCGCGAGUACGACUCCAUCAACCGCGUUCUAGCAACGCUUCCGCUUAGCGAUCUUGAAAGGUAUGAAGAUGCACUCACCCCUCUCUCGUUGCUGGUCUCUCCAUAGGAAGAUCUGAAUAUGCGUAGGAAAUUUUUUGAAUUUAUGCUACAUUACCCAACAACCACGAGCGUCGUCCAACGUCACGUUCCGUUAGCCAUCCUCCCCUGCGAAGUCCCCGGGGACAGUGACUGGCACUCUCUGGCAAUAGCUAGACGAAUGUUGAUUUUGUGACAACCACCCUUCCCAUGCAACGGCACCAGAAGAAUGCUGCUAGCACUCCCCGACAACGAAACUAGAAGAAUGUUGUUGAUGGCCCACCAGCGCGUGGGUUCGCAGCAGUUUUCGAGGGUAGAGUAUUCGACCCAAAUUUGUUGAUCGCCAAACAGGAGGUGAGAGAAUACUCUCGAGUAUUAGCAGUUGAAUGUGUCAGAUUCAACCACACCUGAAAGAUUAGUAUCUGCAAGCAAACUAGUAACAGCAAAGUAGUAUGAUAACAACGGUGUCAGAAACGAUCUGUUGACACGGCAGACUAUUUCUAACGAUUGUAUCAAUGGCGCCAAGUUGCCUCGUUGACGGAAAUUGUCUCUUCCCGUCAACGACCAACGAAUCAAGAUUGUAGCAGGUAGCAGCAGUGUAACGAGUAACGGCAGUGGCAAGGAACAACAGUAGUGACAGCAGCAGCAGAGCAAGACAAGUAACAACAGCAGUAGGACAAACUCGUAGGCAAUGGGUCGGUGAUUUGUUUGGAUGAUAUUCAUCAUGCAACAGUUAUAACACGGAGAGAUAUGUGGCUAGCUCCCGUUCGUCAACGUGAUGUAGGCAUGCCUUCCGUGUGUCGUCAUCCCUGCUUAGGGAAAAGAACUUGCAUGACAUCUAUUGUCCAUCCCUCCCGUGGCAGCAGGGUCCAAAAGGAAAUUACGGGAUAUUAAGGUUCUCCUUUUAAUAAAGAACCGGACCAACGCAUUAGCACUUGGUGAACACAUGAACUCCUCAAACUAUGGUCAUCACCGGGAGUGGUUCCGGCUAUUGUCACUCCGGGGUUGCCGGAUCAUAACACAUAGUAGGUAACUACUCCUUGCAAGAUCGGAUCUAAAACACACAUAUAUUGGUGACAACAUAAUAAUUUCAUAUCUGAAAUCAUGGCACUCGGGCCCUAGUGACAAGCAUUAAGCAUGGCAAAGUAGUAGCAACAUCAAUCUCAGAACAUAAUGGAUACUAGGGAUCAAUCCCCAUCAAAACUAACUCGAUUACAUGAUAGAUCUCAUCCUACUCAGCACCGCCCAUUGAGCCUACGAAUAGAUUACUCAUGAACGACGAAGAGCUUCAUGGAAUUGGAGAGGGAAGAAGGUUGAUGAUGACGAUGGCGACGAUUUCCCCUCUCCGGAGCCCAAAACGGACUCCAGAUCUGCCCUCCAGAUGAAGAACGGGAUGUGGCGACGCCUCCGUCUCGCAAACGUGAUGAAAUCUUCACUUUUUAUUUUGGGAUAUUUAAAUUAGUGCCCUUGGUUCCUUAGUUGUGCUCACUUUUCCCCACGCUCCAAACGUUUGCUCACUUUUCCCCUCUUCCUUAGCUGAAACUCUCACAAAUGCUCAUAGCGGCCGUUUGUUGUCUUGACCGUCCAUCGACCGUUAAUUGCUGACGAGUGGGGCCGAGUCUUCGGCUGACUGUUGCUUGCUGACGGGUGGGACCGCAAGGAGACACGUAUUGGGCAGCUUGUCUGAAUCUGAAACAUAUCUAGACAAGCCGCGCUGCACCGCGCCGCCCCGCCUCCUCCGCCGGCGUCGUGUCGCGUCCACCACAGUUGUUUCCUCCAUCCUAUGCCCCUAUUCCAUUCGUCGGCGACGUCGCGUCUCCGCCAGAUAUAGCCCACCUCCCCAUCUAGGAUUACAUGGCGAUGUUGAGUGAGGACGCCCGGAAUGCAGUCGUCCGUGGAGAGGAUUGGGUCGAAUCCGCGGCAGAUAAUUCAUGGAUUAAACCUGGGUAAGCAUUGUUUCUCUCGACUUGACGUUCUAAGUCGUAUUGUAGGCCGUAUUUGACUUCUGUUUGCUUGAAUCGUUCGAAUUUGUGCUCGAUUUUACCCGGCUAACUGAAGCCUUUAUUUCCUUCAACAAAAUAGGAUUGAUCCCGCGCUCGCUUUCCGGCUGGCGAUUAGAAUGGAAACUAGUGUGCUGCGUGGUACUGAACCGCAUUUGAUUUCAUCAUUUUUCUAUCCCAAAGUGGUAGAAACCAGCAUAUCUUUCAAAGAUUUGCAAGCUGAGCUAAGAAACACCUAUCCCUAGAGUGAUGCCGAUGAUGUUGAACUGAAUUACUUCAGCAGUGACGAGCAAAGAUUUCUCCCACUAACUUGUGACGAUCAUAUGCCAUUGCUUUUUGCUGGGAUUGCUGGUUGCCGAUUCGGUAAACUCCAAAUCGAUGUGCUUCAGCCACGCGUAGAACAGGUGAAGAGGAAGGGAGUUCAGACAUCAUCUGUCUGUGCUAAUAGCCAGCACCCCGGCACUCAUUGUAGGUCGACACCAAGUAAAGCAAGUGGUUCAUGGAGCCACAACAUGCCUGCUGCCAAUUGUGGUUCCGAUUCAGCUGCUGCUUCCCGUGUAUCUUUUGCAGUUGGUGUAGAAGAGGAUGCAGGACCUGACGAGGCAGUGCCUACAAAUGAUGAUGAAGACGAGAUGAUGUUUCCUGAACUGGUUGAUGUAGCCAGUCAGCAAGCAGUGGAUGACGAAUAUAUGGAGGAGCCCAUCAGCCAAGCUAGGUUUGAUGACACUGACGAUGAAGAGAAGGUGGAGAACAUGGACAGCUUAAUCGAGGAUGAAUACGAUGGUGAUGACAUGCCAACAAUUGAGUGGAACAGGGAAAAACCUGAGCUUAGUGUAGGUACCAUUUUCCAAUCAAUGGUGGACUGUCGGAAUGCAGUGACAACAUGGUGCAUUAUAUCUGAAAACACCUAUAAGAUUAAAAGGAGUGAGCCAUCAAGGUUCACAGUUUUUUGUCCAUAUCCUAGGUGUAGGUGGAAGUUGCAUGCAUCUCGUAUGAGAAAGAGCAAAUAUAUUCAGGUAAUCGAAGUUCAGUUAGUAAUUUAGUUUCAGAUUGUUGAGUAAGGUUUCUUAACUAUUUUUUAUCCUUUUAUUUUGUUUCAGAUAAAGAAAAACCCACACAAGCACACCUGUCCACCUGGAGGGGGAGGGGGGAAGGCCAAAACCAAGCUAGCAAAAACUAGGUGGGUGGCAGAUGCUAUAUUGGAUUGGCUGAGAGAAGAACCUGGACUUGGUCCAACAGCACUCCAUGGGAAGCUUUUUGAGAAGUACAAGGUAGAAAUUCCUUACAUGAGAAUUUUCAAUGCUAGGGAAAAGGCUCUUGACAGAAUUAAUGGUCAAUGGAAUGACAGUUUUCAGCUGCUUUACACUUUCAAAGCUGAAGUGGAGAUGGCAAGUCCAGGGAGUGUAGUAGAGAUUGACAAGCAUACAGUUCAAUUCAAAAUAAAAGGGAAGUAAUUUCAGAAGGAGUGCUUCAGAAGGGCUUUUGUUUGUUUCAAGGCUUGCUGGCAGGGGUUUCUAGAUGGUUGCAGGCCCUAUUUGGCUGUAGAUGCUACACAUUUGACUGGAAGAUGGAGAGCACAGCUAGUAGCAGCUUCUGCAGUUGAUGGACACAACUGGCUAUUCCCAGUUGCAUUUGGUGUGGUGGAGGAAGAGUCUGAGGAAAGUUGGGUCUGGUUUCUGCAGCAGUUGCGCAACAUUAUAGGCACACCCCCAGGUUUGGCUAUACACACAGAUGCUUGCAAGGGUUUAGAGAGUGUAGUGGAAAUUGUAUUCCCUGGAGUGGAGCAUAGGGAAUGUAUGCGACACCUAGCGCAUAAUUUCAAAAAGAAGUUCAAAGGUAAAGUUUAUGAUGAGAACUUAUGGCCAGCAUCAUACACAUGCAGCAAAAGGAAGCAUGAACACCAUUUGAGAGUGUUGUAUGCUAAAAAUCCUCUUGUGAAGGAGUACAUGGAUGCACAUCAUGGUAAGGUGUGGUCAAGAAGCAAAUUCAACGAAAUCUGCAAAGUAGAUUAUGUGACCAGUAACCUAGCAGAGUGCUUCAAUUCAAAGUUCAAGUCAGUGAAAGGGCUCUUGUUGUGGCAAGCAUUUGACAAGAUGAGGCAAAUGAUCAUGAUAAAGAUGGUUCUUCGCAAAAGAAUUGCAGAAACACAAUAUGUUGGUCAUCAAAUGCUCCCAUCACUGAUUAAGGCAUUGCACUUGAAGGCAAGAGGCCUGAAGAUGAAAUGUAUUCGAUCUGGUACAUAUGAGGGAGAGGUUACCUAUACUGACACUAAAAAUAGGGUAUGGAGGUAUCCUGUGAACCUAAGUACUAGAGAAUGUACUUGUAGGCAAUGGCAGAUCCGUGGGAAGCCAUGCAUACACGCCCUACAUCUGAUGACCGUUAUCGGGGGUGCAGAUGGUGAAGUUGAUCAAUAUUGCUCUAAGUAUUUCUCUGUUGCCAAAUUUAUGGCUGCUUAUGCUGACAAUGUGCCUGCACUAUUGGGGAAAGAUCAAUGGAACAUAGUAGAUCCAGGGUUCAAAAUCCACGCUCCUGUCAUUACUAGACCACCAGGAAGACCAAGGAACCAGAGGAUUAGAGCAGGUGAGGAGGGUCGUCCACCAAAGAAGCGUGCUUGCAAAAAGUGUGGAGUUCUGGGGCAUAUUGCUAGGCUUUGUACCAAUGCAGUGGAUGCAUCAUUUGGAGAGCAGGAAAGAUGGACAUCAGCCAAUGCUGAGGAGAAUGCAACAGCAAUGGAGAUUGAAGAUGCAGUGGAGAAUGCAGCAGCAAUGGAGAUUGAAGAUGCAGUGGAGAAUGCAGCAGCAAAUGAAGCAGAAGAUUUUGAAACCAUGGCCUUUGAUGGUUUUGAAGCUAUAAGAGAGGAAGAGGAGGGGGUAAUUGUUCCAAUUGUGCCUUUAAAGAUUACUGAACCCAUAGAUGACCGUCAAAUGGUCGUCAAGUGCUCGGCGAGUGGAACUACUCCAUCAGCACCUCCACGGGGAAAACACCAAGUAAAGCCCAAGAUCAAAAGGAACAAGAGUCUGAAAGAAAAGAGCAUCUCAACUAGGGAAACCAGGAGCAAGACGGUGAAGCCAGCUGCAAACACAAGGAGCAAGUCAAAAAUUUGAAUUAAGUUGUUGGAAAAUGUUUGUGUUGUCAAUUUGAGGGCGAGUCGAUCGCUUAAAACUUGGUAGAUUUGUAUUAAGAUGUUGGCAUCUUAAAACUUGGUAGCUUUGAGCUACUGUAAUAAUGUUGGCAUCAGUUGUAAUAAUGUUGGCAUCAGUUGUAAUAAUGUUGCUUCUACUUUGGUUCCUUAUUUGAGUCAAAAUUCAAAUUUCCAUCAAAAUUUGAAUUUGGGCCAAAAUUUGGAUUCGAGCCAAAGUUGAAGUUGAACAUUGGAGGUUCAUUGCUCUGUGCGGUGUAUUUGAUCGAGCAUUUCAAGUCCAAUGUUCUUAGGUGAACAGUCCGAAUGAGAAAUGUGCUAGAAACGAGCUCGAAAGCUAGGGUAAACAACCCUGUUUGAAAUCAAGUUUUUUUACCUUCCCUAAAUGAGACAUAUAUAUUUUUAUUAACACUUGUUCCAUAUAUAUAGGGUAAAAACGAAGUCUCACUAUUUAUUGAUUAAUAUUCAUAUUACUACAUUUUUUUGAAAAAAUAUGCUUUUAAUUCAAAACCAUCAAAUAACACGUUUUAGAUAUGAAAAUGAAAAAGUAAGUUCAAAUCCUUCUUAUUCACUCCAAAAUGAAGCUAUGGAGAUUUUUCUGAUUUUUUUUGAAUUAUUUUAAUUUUUUUUCAAAUCCUAAACCCUCUCUCCCUAUUCUACGAACUAUGAAAAUGUUCAUAGGUGAUAGCUCAUUUUUGUGAAGGCUUUUUUCAUGAAAAUGACCUACACCAAGUUUAUAUUUUUUUCUCAUAACCUUGUCACAUAUGACGGCUAUGUGCGCAAGAAUUACAACAUUUUGAUUUUUUUUGAAUUUUUUAAAAACAUUUGAACUUGAUUUCGACAGGUCACUUCAAAAAAUGACUUUUCAAAAAAACGCCCCUAUACCGAGUUUAUAUAUUUUUAUGGUAACUAGGUCUCAUAAACAGACGAACUACAUUUGUUUUAUAUUUUUGCGAUUUUUUCUAAUUUAGUUAUGGCCAUUUGAAAUCUGGUCAAACCCUAAUAACCCCGUUGACUCGCUCAUAACCCCGCAGAAAUGCUCCAAACCCUAGCGUCGAACGUCCGCCGUCGGAUCAUACCCUAGCGCCAAACACCACCCGUCAGAUGUGGGCAGGCANNNNNNNNNNNNNNNNNNNNNNNNNNNNNNNNNNNNNNNNNNNNNNNNNNNGAUCUGCGUGAUGCAUCGUGAUUGGCUACUGCACUGUCCUUCUCGGGUUUUUACGAUCUGCCUCACUUUACAUACGAAAUUGUAUUUUUCGCACAUGACUACCACAUGUCAGUGUUAAGAGUUGGUUCAAAUAUUCAAACUGCAAAAUACAAUGUGGCAAAUCGUCAAUAUAGCUUCCCCUUCUCCUCUUCUCCAUGUGACAGACAAAGGCAUCGAGCAGAUCGAGCAAUUCCUCUGUUUCUUUCCCCAUCUUCUCGUUCUUCUUCCUCUCGACCAAUUCCUCUGUUUUUUCCUCUCGGGCGAUAUGUCGACCUCCUCGUCAGUCCCCGUUCCACGUGGCCGGUGUAUAGUCCAGUGCCGAUGACUCGAUGCACUGACUGCCCACGGAUUGCGCCACUGAAGCGGUUGACUUCGAAGGAGGAGAAGAAUGGGAACUUUGGGCGCGAGUUCGUCAAAUGCGAGAGCAAGCCGGAGGGGCAGGUUAGAUCUGAGUUUUCCUCGCAUCCUUUAUCUCUGUCAGAUUUGGAUUUAGGUUACAUGAUUUCAUUUUCAGAUCAUGAAGAAAUGCCACCAUUUCGAGUGGAUGGAUGAUUACACCCACAGGCUUCAAGGGUUGGGCUUGCUGGAUUCGAGGGGGAUGCAAUCCGCGAGUUCAAUCUGCCCCAUGACAGUGCCGCUCCAGCAGCAGCAGCGCGUCCGGAAUACCCGACGGUGGUAGAUGUCGAACUGAAUACGGAAUUGAAGAAGAUGAACAAGAACUUCAAGCAGCUGCUUGAGUUGAAGAAUCAAUCCAAUCUGAUAGCUUUAGGAAUACUUGCUCUAGGAAUUUUUUACUUGAUGGCCAUCUCUCAUUAGAGAUGUUUGUCUACUGUUGUUGCCACUGUUUAGCAAUCCUCGUCUGUUUAUCUCAAAUGCAACUCUGUUUAGUGCAACUGUCGAUCUCUGAAUGUAUGCAGUUUACUAUUAAGUUUUGACACUUUCAGUUUCGACAGAAGACAACUACCAGUUCAGUGAUAGGAUUAUUUUGUUAGCUAAUAACCUCGAGUGUUGGGUCAUACCCUAGCUCGUCAGAUGACAGUAAGCAGUACUUGAGCAGCACGAGGGAUAUACAUCAAGUUCAUCUCUUCUCUCUCGUACUUGCCAAACUUUUGUCCUCGAGUUCGUCAGUUCUGCUAGAAAAAAAAACCUAGUUUGCGGGCCCAAAGAGAAUCAAGCCGCAAUAGGCCCACAAAGGAUAAAUGAGGCCCAGAAACAAGUGAUGUUUCUUUUUUUGUUUAGGAACGAUUGCUUUGUUCUUUUUUGUUUUUGAUUGCUUUUUUCAUUAAUUUGAUUGCCCAAUCUCUUGUAUCUCAUUGAGGAAUUUUUUGGCUUUCCUUUAUGGGUCCCUUCAUUUAUCCUUUUGACUAAAGCCAAACAUCUCAAAGUGUAGUUUUCUACAUAGUGUAAUUUAUACUUCAUGAUUGGAAAAAGAGGUCCAACCAUACUUCAAACAUAGUGUAGUUUUCUACAUAUUAAAGUAGGGAUUAAAGUAUAUAAAACUACACUUUUGACUAAAGCCAAACAUCUCAAAGUAUUUGAUACUUCAAUAUUUCUGAAAACCAAAGUAUUCUUUGAAUACCUAAAAAAUACAGAGCUCAGCAAACCAAAGUCGUGUACAAAUGUACAAUAUGUUCUUAUUUUUAGAAGGCAUCUAUAAACACAUCAUUUUUAGUUAGUUUGGUUAAUUUUUCCCACGCCAAUUAGCCGCGUCUAAACUUGGGACAAACAAAAUACAAACAUAACAAAGCAUUAAUAUAACACACAGAACUUAACUUAGAUAGGGUUGCUAGGGCAACAUAAGUUCUUGGGACAUAUAACACGACACCAAUUUCUUACAUAGAUAAUAAUAAUUAGGGUAGCUAGGUCGGGCAACACACACACCAAACUAAUACUACAUACUAGAUAGGGUAGCUAGGGCAACACCGCCAUGUCUUCACCGUCGUCUUCACCUUAACCGCCGGCUUCACCGUCUUCUUCGCCGCCGGCUUCCGUACUCCUCCUCCUCAAGGCCGUUGUCGCCGAGGUAGUACGGGAGGCUGUGUAUGCGAUCGCAAGCGGGGAAGAUGCUCUCGAAGUCGGUGAAGAUGUUAUAGGUGGUGAAUGCGAUGAACUCGCACCCACACCAAUACACCUUGCCGAGCAUGUGGUAGGCAUCGAACCUGUUGGUGAAGUGGACGACGAGCCCUACCGGUGGAGCGUUGGCGUGGGGACGCUGCUCCACGAGGUUGAACAUGGGCGGCGAGCCCGCGGGGAGGUGGUGGAAACCCGCACGAAGGAACCCCCGUGCAAGCUCAGUGCUACCCCUCCAGCGUGAGAACGCCCACACGCGAAGCGAUUCCUCGACGACGACGUUGGCGGGGUACCGCCGUUCCGGCACGGUGGGAGGCUCUUGGAACAUUGGGCCGUAGAACUGCAUCUUGAACGCUUCGCUGAGUGGAACNNNNNNNNNNNNNNNNNNNNNNNNNNNNNNNNNNNNNNCGCUCUGGCUUUUGGGGGAAGAAGAGAAGUGGGAGGCGCAGAUGGAUCUGUAGAAGAAGAGGCAACGAAGGGCAGUUUAAAUAGCCGGGGGAGACGAAGUGGGUACACGCGCAAAUGGCGUAGAUCGUGACUCAGUGCUGCUGUGUGAACCGAUGCGAUCAUCAGUGUGUGAACGUGAAUCGAAGCGAGCGUGCUCUGCGUUGGCGGCUCUCUGUGCUCUGCGUUGGCGGCUGCCUCCCCCUGCUGCGUUGGCGGCUGCCUGCCUCCCCCUUCUGCGUGCUCUGCGUUGGCGGCUGCCCCUUCUGCAUGCCCCUUCUGCCACCAGCACAACUGAAUCGAGCGGCAGCCGUGCGGCGUGAACUGAUGCCUUGACAUAUGGACGCGAGCGUGUGAGCGUGCGUGCAGCCUGCCCCUUCUGCCACCGGCACAUAUGCCUGUGACGCGUGAAACGACGUUGCGGAGUGACUGAAUCCACUGGCAACCGUGCGGCACGGAUCGAUGCGUGCGUGUCGGCGUGCAUGCAUGCGUUUAGGUCUAGGUCACUAGAUGCGUGCGUGGCGGUGUUCGCAUGCAUAGCAGGCUACAUCGAUGCCAAAGACGGGCAUGCAUAGCAGGCUGCAUCCAUCGAUAGUAGGCUUUUUUAAUUUAUUACCAACAAACUAACGGGCCCGUCCUAUGAACACAAACACGGCCCAACCAACGAAGCCACAGCCACACUCAACAGAGUACAACAUGGCCCCACAACGGCCAAGACGGCAAACGCCUGUUAUCAACAUUUGUGAGAGUUUCAGCUAAGGGAGAGGGGAAAAGCGAGCAAAAUUUUGAAGCGUGGGGAAAACUGAGCACAACUAAGGAAUUGGGGGCACAGAUGGAAUAAUCCCUUCUAUUUUUUCUGGGAUGAAAGUGAACUUAUAGAGCUGAGAUUGGGGGCGGCAGAGCCGUGUGGGCCCCACAAGCUUGCCCACCGCCACCAGGGGGUGGCAGAGGCAGGGCUUGUGGCCCACUGGCCCACCCCCUCACGUGGAUCUUGGCGCAGGUAUUUUUUCAUAUUUUCCAAAAAUGUUCCCUGUAAAUUUUCAGGACGUUUGGAGAACUUUGAUUUCUGCACAAAAAUAACACCAAGGCAAUUCUGCUGAAAACAGCGUCAGUCUAGGUUAGUUCCAUUCAAAUCAUGCAAAUUCGAGUCCAGAACAAGGGCAAAAGAGUUUGGAAAAGUAGAUACGAUGGAGAAGUAUCAGACAGCCUCUCAACGCAGCCUCGCGGAGGCAUCGCGAAACCCCCGGCGACGGUUGCGUGUGCGAGCCCCGUGAGGCUAAUGCCCUCGUGAGGGCGCCAUCCCAGCCGCCUAGCGAUGGUGAUUCGGGAGCCCGAUCUUCCUUCUUUGGUGUCGCCUUCUUUUUCCUAAAAUGCAACAUGCUUGCCUCGUGGGGGUGUAUAAAAGGGGUUAUGUCCUUCAUGCCUCAAAUUGAUUUCAACGCUCUUUUGGGUCGAAAAUAAACUUCUCCUUGGCACUCCCUGUCGACCUUGCUCCUCCUCCCCGGUCGCUCCAAAGCUUCGUGGCACUAAGGCCCAGCCCCCGAGCAUGGGUAUGAGGGCUCCUGAGUAAGCCAGCGGGCGCGUGCCGCGGGGGCACUAUUUGUUGUCUUUGGCUUCUCCCUAGUGCGAUGCAUGGGGCUUCCACUGGUCGUGGGCAUAGUCGUACAGUCAGGAGGGAGGCACUGAGCGUGCGCGGCAAGAAAAGAGAAGACCAACGAAACUCCGUGAAAACCAGAAGACCAAGAACAUCGCUAAAACCAGAGGCAAACUUGUUUGCAAGUCAAGAAGGAAGGCAAGAAAUACGGAUGUCGUGUCCAGUAUGGGUCAACCUAGAAAGAAAGGCGGUUGCUGUAUCCAGUAUGGGUUAACCUAAAAAAAAUGUGGACCCGGGGUGUCUCCUUCGUCUUCUUACCUAGUUCGGAGCAUGGGUACUGCCACUGUGCGUGGGAGAGGACCCUCCUCCGCGGCAACAACACGGCUCAUUGUGGGCUUCCACUUCGGGGUCCCUAGAGCGUAUACAACCCCCAAAAGUCAUUAUUACGUGAGAGUGUCACGGUCUUCUUCACCAGCGCGGAGCAUGGGGACUGCCACUGGGCGUGGGAGGGGACCCUCCUUCGCGGCCACGACGCGGCUCCUCGUGGGCUUCCACUUCGGGGGUACAAAGUGUAUACAACCCCCAAAACUCAUUAUUACGUGAGAGUGUCAGGGACGGCAAUAGUUGGGCAGAUACCCGAGGUACAAGGCUCAGGAGUCCCUAACCCGGUCUUCACGUGCGCUCCUGCGGCCCAAGCAUGAGCAUCAUUCACGCCCCGCGCGGCCUAAGGAGUGUUGUUGUGUGCCCCUAGUGCCCAGGCAAGAACGCCGUUCACACCCCGCGCGGCUGUAAGAGCACGUCAUCACGAGAGUCGUCAUGUGGGGCGGCAUGGCGCCCAUCCAGCAAUAGCGCGAGCCAAGCAGCGUCCCCUUCAUCUGCUCAUGACGGCUUGUCGUGAGGGCGCGACACUAAGGACUUUGGCGAGAUGACUAACAUAGGUGGCCAGCCCGCGAGUCAGAGCUCGAUCGCUUAGAUUUGUCGGCGCUGUGAGGACAAGUCCUGCACAGAUGCCGUGUCUAACCCCUCAUCGUCGAUCCUUCCCCGGACGGUUGCGGGGUCGCGCCAUCCCCCGACAGCGGCGGAACACCAGAGCUUAAGAUUUAGACAAACAACACCAUCUCAAGCCAAGGUUAAUCGAGUUUGUUACACAUCCAGAAAACACCCGCUUGGGGCGCUGCAAAAUACACAGAAUUGCUUGGUUCAAACGACUCAAAAAUUCACUUGGCGGCCAUGCUGCCGCGAGAGCAUCAGGACGUUUGACGAUGCAUGCCGCAGAGGUCUACCCCCGCGGGUGGGUUGACGACCGGCUCUUGAGGCCUCAAGGGUCCGCCGGGUCCUGACACCUUGCGAGGCAUGCAUGACCCGCAUCUCUUGCAGCUUGUCGGCCUCCUAAGCGGCGAACUCGUGUGUCCCUGGCGCUUGGCGUCACAUUUUUGGCUUGUGGGGGCAUGCGCCGAGGCGCGCCACCACAUGGUUCGUGAGCGCCCACUCGUCAUCUUGACCAAGCCAGGCGGCUUCCAGGCGGGAGCCCCCGAGCCCGGCCUGACGCGGGCUUCGGACGUGGCCUACUAUGAUGGAGGGAGGCGGGCGCCGGCUGGGGGCGCGAGGCCCGCGAUACUAGCGCCUGCCGCGACACCCAUCGCCCUGUGGGUGCGGACGCCGGCCCGACGUGGAUGGCUCGCUCGCUAGGGGAAGACCCGACCGCUCGGUAGUCGUGCGUUUUGUGAGUGCGCGCGUUGUGGUAGGCGCAUAACAUCCCACCGUCUCUUUCUGGCGCGCCUCCGCAUGGGCUGGGCGGCGGCCCGAAGUCGGCUAUCGGAACCCGGAAGGGCAGGAGUACAACGUCAGGCGGACACUGCUCGCCCCCGCCCCCCCAGCUGGGGACCAAGCGGGCCAGCGCGUAUUUGUGAAGGCGGCUUGCUGACCGAGCGUUGUGCCUCUGACGCUCGGGACCGAAGCGGGGCGUAGGGCGUCAGAGCCCACUUGGCGACGGCGACGAACUCGGCGAUGUGGCCCAUCGAGGCGUCGUACCCUUCGUCUGUAGGGUGGUGGCGAAGCAGUUCGCCCGCCAUGAGCAGCGCGUCUUAUGCGUUGAGAUCUCCCACGUGGACACAAGCUGGUGAAGAUGUCGCAGGGGGCGCGGGGAAGCUACCGUCUUGCCGCACUGGGGGCUGUGGGAAGCCGUGCUGCUCGCGGGCGGCACGAGCAACAAUGGUGGUGGCCGCGAUGCUGGUGGGGCGGCAACGGCCGCCUGGCACCGAGCACUCGGGGCGCGUGGGGGCGAGCGUCGACCAUGGGGUUGGUGAAGCUGGAGCCUAAACUGGAGCAAAAGAUCGGUUGCUCACCCCUACGCGGCGCUCCAAAUGUCGGAAUCGGGGCUCCGCGUAUCCGGAGAAGGUUCGAACUCUGGGGUGCACUUGCUCUCCUACCAUGUUCUACCUCUCAACUUCACCGCAACUCUCUGAUGGCUCGAGCUAAGGGAAGAGAACUAGAGCAAGCGAGCAGUUUGCACAUGUUUGGGCCACCUUGCGGUGUAAAACCCUACUCCUGCUUGUCUGGAUUGCUUGAGGUGGAAGACGAGUACAAGGGUGGGUUCUUGCCCUAGUGGAGAUAAUGAGGAUCGGAUCCCUGCUACAGAGACCGACCUCUCUAUUAUACUGGCCAUAGUCCUCUUCCCCACGAAAACACACUCACGGGGAAUGAUCGCCACAACGGCCAUUUUGAAAGGGGACAGGACUCCGGCUCCCCUGGCAAAGGUGAUCUUCGCCUGCAAAAUCCAUCCUCCAUGACGUGUUGGGGAGCUCGGGGGCAACCUCCGCCCUGCCGAGCCCACAGCCUUAGUCCUCUUGCACAUAACAGGAAACCUUUGGGGGUUGCUUUGGGAGCCCACCAGCUAGCCCUGCUUCCUUAGCACAGAAGUGGAAAUCCUUCUUGUCCACGCCUCCUGGCACCACUCAUGUGCCCCCUACGUAGCCUGCGUCACUCACGUGACUGCACAGGGUCAUGAGACCCUACUAGGUCGCCCUUGGCGAACCCGCCUCGCGAGAGCCUCAGGAGUGGCCUCAGGACGUGUCCUCGUAGCGUGCAACCCCCUCGUGGUCUUUGGCGAUGAUCGUGAGGUGCUCGCUUCGCGAGGCGAGGGCCCUUGCGAGGGUCUCCCUUGUUGGGCUUGACGAUGGGACGAGCCGGGCUUGUGUAGCGUGUCGCGCCUGGGGCUGCAGGCCGACGGGCCUGGGCACCCCCGGUCCCAGGGGCCCAACAGAAUCAACCCAACAUGAUGAACAUGAAUAGACAAAAAAUCUCAUGUGUCCUCGGGAGCGUUUUCCUCAUAAUAGAAUACUUUUCGGCUUGUGUUUUGCUAAAAAAGGAUUGUGAUAUCUUGUUGCAUACUUGUUAUCAUUGAGUGCUUGUUACUAUUGUUAUUUAUCACUUGUUACGAAUUAUCUUGCUAUAAAAUUAUCUACCAAUGUUACUCAUAGCACUUGCAUAUAAUACAUAGCUGAAAACUGCUUAUCAUUUUCUUCUGCUCCUUGUUGAAUUCGAUACUCUUACUUAUCGAAAUAACUACGAUUGAUCCCAUAUACUUGUGGAUGGUGCCUUACCGCACAAUAGACGCACGUGCGACAACGUUCGUGAUGGUGCUUCAGGAUUCCAAUGUAUUGCGUCGAGGAUCAAAACGAACUUGUCAACGGACCACUGCCGUCUCAUUCUUUACUGAGUUGGAGGGUUGUCAUCUUAUCCAUGGAAAACGCGUCAAGUUAUCACUUCGGGUCGAAGCACUAAAAGAAAAGGACCGGAAAAUACGGCGGUAUAGGAACCACAGAAACCCAGGAGGCUUUGUUCGUUUGCAUCGAUGUAUUGGGUCAUCGUUUUCAUCUGUUUCGACGCACACGAACAGGCGCGAACAAUUUGAAUCGGCGCGUUGGAGUAGUAGAAAUCAUGCCUUGAUAGUAGAAACAACUGUUGAACUAGGAGGGAGAUGGAGGUGGUUCUUUUGUGGGUGUCCUGGUCCAAAUGCCAAUUAAAGCAAGGCACAUCGCACUCCACCUCGCCCCGGCUACACGAGUAGUAGCAGUAAUAGCCAUCUUUUUUUCUUUUCUUAAAGUACUAGUACAAUCGUACAGUCCUACAAUCCUAGUCCUCCGCGUCUCCCGAAACUAAACCCAGCACAGCGUGGCGUCGGCGUUGGCACCCGCUGGAAAGGGAGAGCUGGCAGCUUGCUAGGUGCAGUGGGCGAUGGAGGACUGAAAGGCGACGGCGAGCGUGACCAGACGGUGCGGCGGAUCGCCUGCGCCCGGGGCGAGGCGACGAGCAAGCAAGUACGCCCGCGCCUGUGGGUCCUCUAGGGGGUAAUUUUGGUGUUUUGACCCUUUCGUCUAAGUUUAGCCGAAUUUGAUUCUGAUGUAGAAAAAUAUUCGGAUCUGACCCGUUUGCUACCGCCGGACCCUGGUAGGGUUGCACGUAAAAAACUCUAAGUUGCAGACACAAUACGCGUGUGAGCGUAUCGUCGGAUCCUUUGACGAUAGGAUUACACAUGCUACCGUCAGGUCCUACGACGAUAUGCCAUUUUCCAACCGCGAGGGACCUCGGCAGUAGGUUGUCAUACCCUACCGUCAAAAAGUUCGACGGUAAGAAAAAUGUCAGAUCUAAUUUUUUUUUACGAUCGAGGACAAAUCUGACUGAACUUAAUAAAAAGAUCAAAACAGUGAAUUUGUCCCCGCUAGGGAGGCCGCGGGGUUUCGGGUCGAGCCUUUUCUCCUGUCGUGGCAUUUCUUUUCCUUAUUUCUUCCUUGGGACGGGUCCGUGCGCGAGGUGGUGAUGGUGGAUGCCCAUCGAACGGGGCGUGGUCGCGGUCGGCCGUGGACCCCGGCCCGGCCCCGGCAUACUCUAGUGUACACUGUACAGACACCAACCACAAGGAAGGAGCAGAAGCUACAGAUAUUUCUACGUACACGCAUGUGCUGUUGACUAACCGGCCGGGGCUGGGUUGGACGCCAGCUAUGCAAAGUGCAAGCUGCAUGCAGCAAGGGCUGGCAGGUCAGACGAGCGCAGGAGUGAAAGACGUCGUCAGGGCCAGGCACGUCGAUGCCGUGCGUGCAUGGGCAGAGCAGCGGGGGCUCUGCUUUUGGUAAAACGAUUGGCGAUCGGAAACGAGCUUGCAUACUGGCAGUGGCAGGCAUGACAUGGCGUGCCGUGGCGCCCUCCCUCCCUGCAUGCAUGCGCUACCAGGCGAGGUCGGACAGAUGGGACGGCUCGCCCCAGUCGCGUCCACCCGGCAGCGAAUGAUCGCGCCGUGGAAAGCGAGUGACAAGGCGUUGGUUGCGUGCGUGACCAUACAAGCAGAUUUUCAGCAGACGAGAUUAAAAGAAUUCCGGGCGGACCGUACGACCACGAGAACUGAGAACUCGUGCCUGACAGCAGGCACACACACGCACGCACGCACCAGGUAACAGGCCUCGGCAUCAGCAUGAACACAAAAAAUAUUCCAGGUCACUUCUCCAAGAUACUCAACGGUAGCAGCUGCUAAUUAAGCGACGAAACGAUGCCAGGCCCUCCCUACAAGUCACCCGCAUGCACGCGACGCAUCCAACCCAACCCAAAGGCUAUGAGGAUCCAUGUCCCCAUCGUCCACGUAUCAGGGAAGGAAGAAGUUGGUGGCGUCUUGUUAUGCGGACAGGCACGAGGCGUUGCCGUUGCUGUCGUCGCUGUAUAUGUUCUCUGCCACCUCCCAGAUCUGCAGCACGUUGUCCUCCGCCACGCUGGCCACCACCCACUUCUCGCUGGGGUUCCACGACAGCUCAGAGAUCUUGGCCGUGUGCCCGCUGUGGACGAAAAGCAGCUCCGGCGGCCCGUCGCCCGCGUCCUCGUCCGCCUGCUCCUCGCCGAUCCUGAAGGUGACACAGCAGCAUAUGACAAAAUUCAGCCACAACUGAAGCGGAAGAUGGCAGAUCUGUCAAGUCACAAAGCUCUCAAAGGCAGUCCACAGAGCAACCAGGCGUUCAUCUUACAGCCAGUGACCCAAGAUGCGUUAGCUUUUUUAUUUACACAGGGUAAAAAAUUGCAAGUUUGUUACUUAUAAGGUCAUAGAAGCUAUCGCGCUUUGUGUCAAUCUUGGAAGGGUUAACGAGUAAAAUAACAGUGUGCCAGCAACAAAAAUGAGAUGCCACCUGCAAAAUGUAAGAUAGAAUACGGGAGCAGAUUUGACUAAGCUUACCUGCUAACGUCCCAUAUCAUCACCCUUUUGUCUGCAGCAUGGGAGGCUAAUACAGUCUCCAAGUUUGGAUUCCACUCGACCUGGAAAACCUCGCCCCUGCACGUGCAAAUUGCGCAACACAACAACAAGUCAGAUGAGUAGAGCAUCAUAAGGAUGCAAAGCAGAAGAAUAGCAGGUAGACUGACCAAUAUAAGAAGCAAAGAGUUGCAGCAUGAUAAGAAAAGAGAAGAACUGACUGCAGCAAAUACAUAAGAAGACAAAAAAAAUAGUACAUACUCAUGGUUGUGGAAAGCAUGCAAGCUUCUUGAUAGUUUUCUCAAGUCAAAUAGCUUAAUAGUCCCAUCACCAGAUGCUGUAGCCAAGAUCCAUUCAUUAAAUGGAUUGAAGGACAAAGAGUUAACCUGACAAAGUCAUUAUAUACAUCAUCAUGAGCAUACUAAUAUAAGGAACAUAUUUUUUCACAGAAACAAACUGUAGGUGCCAGCAUAAAUAUUGAUAUUCUCUAUUCACAAUGCAGAGCCACAUAUUACCAAACGUUUUGUCAUAUUCAAACUCAAAGCCAUAAACAUAAAACAAUCACACAAGCGAACUUCAAUACAGUAGGUACAGUCACACAAGGAAACUGAUGGUGUCCCAACUAGAAAAAACAUCUGCUGGUGAAAUUUUUGAAAGAAGCCAGACACAAGGAAUAAGCAUAUCAUUGCAACUUCAGAAAACAAGCUUCACAUACCACUCCGGUACAUAAAGCAAAGGUCUUGCUCACUAAAAAAAUGAGUAUAGUGCAGCUAUGUUCCCCUCGACACAGAAAAACAUUUAGCUCAGUAGCUCUUGCUCAAAGCAUGCUAACUUCCUUUUAAUGAGCACCUACAGAUUGUUCCUGUUUGUUCAUAUGCAAGUCCCACAUCAUGAGCUUGCAGUCAUCACUAACAGACCCAAAUAGGUUCCAUCUUUUUCAGUAAGGAUGCUUGCACAAAGAAAAGAUCUUCCCAGUAUGGUAAAAGUUGAGCUUAGAACAAACUGUAGUACUGCAGCUAUACUCCACUCAGACACAGAAAAACAUUUAGCUCAGCCAAAAAGUGAGCAUAGAACAAACUGUAGUACUACAGCUAUGUUCCCCUCAACACAGAAAAAACAUUUAGCUCAGCAACUAUCAACUAAAGAAUGCUUACUUCCUUUUGGUGCGCAACUAUAGAUUGUUCUGGUUUGUUUGUACGCAAGUCCCACAUCAUGAACUUGCAGUCAUCGCCAACAGAUCCAAAUAGGUUUUCAUCCUUAAGGUGCCAAGCAACAUCUUCAACAACAUCCUCAUGAGCCUGCAAAAACAUAAAAUUUAACUAGAUGUUUAACAUUGCAAGCCAUGCUUACAUACUGAUGAUUGUGAAGAUCAUAUCUAAAAAUAAACAUACCACUCUUAUGUCACAUCUGUAAAACAGAACCAUGUAAUUACGAUUUUGGAUUUUGAACAAGCAACAUAAGCACAGAAGUAAUGGAUAGCUUAAGAAAUCGUGAUCGUGAAGAUCAUCAAUCAUCAUAUCCAAAAAAUGUGGAUCCAGGCAUAACAGUUACACGAGUCACGUUUCCACUUGGGGCCAUCUUCACAGAUGUAUGUUUUUACUGACAAAAGAAGGCGUUGUCAAAAAUAAUAUGACUAACAAGGAUGGGGAACUACGAUGCUCCGGCUGGAGAAUGGCUGAUGGAAGUCAGUCAUACUUCUAUGCUAUUGUUAAGUUACUUUGGUCUGUUUCUCAGUGUUCAGCUGAUGCUGGUCUUUGUAAUGAGCAAGUACUUUGUAAUAAUGGUUUCUGAACCUGUCGUUUUAGUUUAAGCUGGUGUAGUAGUUUUUUUGUAAGCUCAGUCCUUAACUGUAAGGCUUGUAAUUGGAGGCUGAUCUGGGUCAAAGAAAAUCAUUUUAUUUGAAAAUAAGUAGGGACUAUAGCAAUUUUAACAUGCGAGCCAAAUGAUGCAAGACUCACCACUUACUUGCUUAAAAAAAAGAAAAAGGUCUCCAGCCUCUACAUUAAAUUUUUAAAAGGCAUGUACUCAGCUCAUUAAGUCUUUUCAAAUAAUAGAAAAUUGUGUUUGCACUAUCCAGCUAAAACAGUAUUUUUCCUAGUAUGAAAUCACUGCAAACAGCAAAGAAAUUUAUUCAAGUCCAAUCUUCAUACUAAAGCACCAACAGAAGUAAUGAAUUGUAGUGGCAAUCAAGCUGAUGGUAUUCUAUUUUUUAUUGCUUAAUAAGAACUAUGAGCCUUUUGUUGAGAUCAUGCGUUCUCAUGUUAUCGCGACGGUUUAUUAAUCUGAAGUCAGGAGAGACCACUUCUUUGAUUCCAAAUGAAUUGUGACCUGAUGAGUAAUAACAUUAAGAGCACAACUCUUGCCCGGCACAAAUUGCUAUUUUAUAAAUAAAAUCAGAGAAACAUUAUUUUCAAUAUGCCUGAAAAGUGAAGAAAAAUGACAUACAAAACGUUUCUGGUGCAAGAUUAAUGUGCCUAGCCUGGUUAUCCUCCAUAUACGGAAUAAUCAAGUAUACCAAGGGAAGUUUCAAUAUAUUAGGUUUGCAGACAGUAGACAAAACAGUGAAUGAAGUGGUGACUUCGACUAAAUUUGCUCAUCCAUUCGGGGAGAUUAAGUUGCAUUUCAUCAUAUUAUCCUUUCACAUAUAGUGAUGUGGGUAUGGAAAACGAAGGACGACAUAAUUCAUGGUUGAUUUCUUGGCAAUGUUCUGACUUAUGAGUUAUGAGUUGAGUGCUUCGGGUAUCCACAGGUCUUAUGAAGGCUGAAGUGUUAACUUUGAGUAAUUUGUAAUGAUGGUUUCUGAAACUGUCAUUUUAGUGUCAGCUUCUCUAGUAUUUUUUGUGUAAGCUAGGUCCUGAACUAUAAGGCUUGUGGUUGGGGGUGAUCUAGGGCCAAGAAGCUCAUUUUAUUUGAAAGAAAAAAUGAAGUACGACUGUAGCAAUAUUAGCAUGCUAGGCAAAUGACGCAAUGUUCACCAGCUACUUGCAAAAAAAAGGAAAAAGGUCUCCAGCCUCUGCAUUAUUAUUUUUUAAAGCAGGUACUCAACUCAGCAAGUCUUUCCAAAUAAUAAAAACUAUGUUUUCACUAUCCAGCUGAGGGCCAGUUCUUUUCAGGCUUAUGGCUGGGGGGGGGAAACUAUCCAGCUGAGGGCCAGUUCUUUUCAGGCUUAUGGCUGGCUGUGGAAAUAAACUGCCCCUUCCCCGGCCUAUUCUAGAAGCCGAACAUAAAAUUUUAUUUUAGAAGUCUACUAAUUGAGGGUCAAAUAGUAGGUUGAGGAGGGGGCAGCUUAUUUCCACAGAUAUCCAUAAGCCCCAAAAGAACUGGCUAAACAUUAAUUUUCAUAGUAUGAAACCACGGCAACCAGCGAACAAGUUUAUUUUAAGUCCAAUCUUCAAAGUAAAGCACCAUAAAGAAGUGAUGGAUUGUGCUGGCAAACUGGCAACCAAGGUGAUGAUAUUUUGUUUUAAUUGCUUAAGAAGAACCAUAGAGCUUUUAUUGCUAUUAUGUGUUCUCAUGUUAUCUCAAGGGUUGGUUAACCUGAUGUCAGAAGACAACACUUCUUUGUGUCCAAAUGAAUUAUGAAUAAUAACAGAAGGAGCACAUCUCUUGCGCAACACAAAUUGCUAUUUAGAAAAUCAAAUCAGACAAAUCGUGUUGCCAAUACGCCUGAAAAGUGAAGAAAAUACAAAACGUUCCUGUGCAAGAUUGAUGUAUCUAGCCUGGUUAGCCACCAGAUAUGAAAGAAUUGUGUGUAUCAGGGGAAGUUCCAAUAUAUCAGGUUUGUAGACACUGAAUGUGCUCAUCCUUUCAGGGACUUUCGGUUGGAUUUCAUUAUAUUAUCUUUUCACAUUCAGCGACUUCAACUGAAUGUACUCCGGGUAAUGGAAAACGAAGGGCAGCAUAAUUUGUGCUUGGUUUCUUGGCAUUGUUAUGAUUUUGAGCCGAUUGCUUCGGGUAUCCGCACUUCUUAUGAUACAGAAGUGUUUAAUCAGUUCUGCUUCCAGUGGUAGCUACUACUACUAACAUCACAGUAUAUACUACGUAUUACUCAAAGGUUGCGAACCUAACAUGCAUAAUACGUACAAUCAUAUAGUACAUGAGAAACAAUAUAAAUGUGGGGAACAGGAAACAGCACAGGAGCAUCUGUUGGGACAUUACCGCAAACACCUGUUGCGCGUCCAGAACCGGGGCUCCAUUCCCGGCCUUGAGAUCCCACAGGCAGAUCUUCUNNNNNNNNNNNNNNNNNNNNNNNNNNNNNNNNNNNNNNNNNNNNNNNNNNNNNNNNNNNNNNNNNNNNNNNNNCCCCGCGCUCCAAGCCAGCCCAUCCCCCUCCGCGCCAUGACCCCUGAGCACGACAUCCGCGCCCCGCUUCUCGCCGUCGUCCCCGAGGUGGUACACGUGCACCUCAUCGACGCAAGUCUUGGUGGCCACUGUAUAUGGCUGCUGCGGCAUGCACCGGGCGCGAUUAACCUCGCCCUGAUGCGGCGCCGAGCGGCCGAUGGACACGGACGGGGCCGGGACGGCGCGGCCCUCGGCGGCCGCCGCCGCGGCCAGGCGCGGCGGGA
RNAcentral lists this long non-coding RNA (40543 nucleotides) under Hordeum vulgare. RNAcentral describes it as "long non-coding RNA (HVUL_LNC013651)". Lineage: Eukaryota; Viridiplantae; Streptophyta; Magnoliopsida; Poales; Poaceae. The record is from RNAcentral.